AGAGUUUGAUUAUGGCUCAGGAUGAACGCUAGCUACAGGCUUAACACAUGCAAGUCGAGGGGCAGCAUGGUCUUAGCUUGCUAAGACUGAUGGCGACCGGCGCACGGGUGAGUAACGCGUAUCCAACCUUCCCCUUAGUAGGGCAUAGCCCGGCGAAAGUCGGAUUAAUACCCUAUGUUCUUCGUAGAGGACAUCUGAAAUGAAGCAAAGACUUGUCGCUAAGGGAUGGGGAUGCGUCUGAUUAGGUUGUUGGCGGGGUAACGGCCCACCAAGCCGACGAUCAGUAGGGGUUCUGAGAGGAAGGUCCCCCACAUUGGAACUGAGACACGGUCCAAACUCCUACGGGAGGCAGCAGUGAGGAAUAUUGGUCAAUGGGCGAGAGCCUGAACCAGCCAAGUAGCGUGCAGGAUGACGGCCCUAUGGGUUGUAAACUGCUUUUAUGCGGGGAUAAAGUGAGGGACGUGUCCCUUUUUGUAGGUACCGCAUGAAUAAGGACCGGCUAAUUCCGUGCCAGCAGCGGC
This 521-nucleotide ribosomal RNA is filed under the name uncultured bacterium. RNAcentral describes it as "bacterial SSU rRNA". It matches the Rfam family "Bacterial small subunit ribosomal RNA", at positions 8 to 518 of the family's 1533-position model. The record is from RNAcentral.